RNAcentral lists this long non-coding RNA (470 nucleotides) under Olea europaea subsp. europaea. Lineage: Eukaryota; Viridiplantae; Streptophyta; Magnoliopsida; Lamiales; Oleaceae. The record is from RNAcentral.
GCAUAGUUCAAACAAACAUGUCUCUAAUAUAACAAUAAACAUAUUUUACCUUAUCAUUUUGAUCGGAGUCCGUCACCAGUUUUAUAGCUCUAAGGAUAUCCAAAGUGGAAACACAAUAGAGUUCAAGGGUACAGUACACAACUUUAAGGCUUACACCAAGCUCCAGGCAAUUGGAAUCGAUGUUCUCUUUUUCAAUUUGAGCACAAUUUGUUUGUCUUCUUUCUUGAUCUCUCUCGGAUCUCAAAGCUCUACUUGUAUUCUUUUUGUUAGUUUGUAUGCAUAUUAGGAUGUAUACUAAUCGUAGGUCGAUCAUUCUUAUCCACGAGUCGGGCCAUUAUGGAAUUUGAAGCAGGCAAGCUGAAUUUGAGGGUGGAUGGUAAACAUAAAAAAUUCCAUGUUUGUGUUGACAAGCUAUCUUAUGAUGAGAAAAGCUGAAAAGUUAAAGAGGAAAAAGUAAAUGAUUAUGUAAA